CGUAGGUGGCAAGCGUUGUCCGGAAUUAUUGGGCGUAAAGCGCGCGCAGGCGGUCCUUUAAGUCUGAUGUGAAAGCCCACGGCUCAACCGUGGAGGGUCAUUGGAGACUGGGGGACUUGAGUACAGAAGAGAAGAGUGGAAUUCCACGUGUAGCGGUGAAAUGCGUAGAGAUGUGGAGGAACACCAGUGGCGAAGGCGACUCUUUGGUCUGUAACUGACGCUGAGGCGCGAAAGCGUGGGGAGCAAACAGGAUUAGAUACCCCGGUAGUCCACGCUGUAAACGAUGAGUGCUAAGUGUUAGAGGGUUUCCGCCCUUUAGUGCUGCAGCUAACGCAUUAAGCACUCCGCCUGGGGAGUACGGCCGCAAGGCUG
RNAcentral lists this ribosomal RNA (372 nucleotides) under uncultured organism. Its description in RNAcentral is "bacterial SSU rRNA". It matches the Rfam family "Bacterial small subunit ribosomal RNA", at positions 526 to 896 of the family's 1533-position model. The record is from RNAcentral.